Molecule: ribosomal RNA, 1318 nt
Filed under: Escherichia coli
Lineage: Bacteria; Pseudomonadati; Pseudomonadota; Gammaproteobacteria; Enterobacterales; Enterobacteriaceae
Description: partial 23S ribosomal RNA
Rfam family: Bacterial large subunit ribosomal RNA
Source: RNAcentral
CCCAAACCGACACAGGUGGUCAGGUAGAGAAUACCAAGGCGCUUGAGAGAACUCGGGUGAAGGAACUAGGCAAAAUGGUGCCGUAACUUCGGGAGAAGGCACGCUGAUAUGUAGGUGAAGUCCCUCGCGGAUGGAGCUGAAAUCAGUCGAAGAUACCAGCUGGCUGCAACUGUUUAUUAAAAACACAGCACUGUGCAAACACGAAAGUGGACGUAUACGGUGUGACGCCUGCCCGGUGCCGGAAGGUUAAUUGAUGGGGUCAGCGCAAGCGAAGCUCUUGAUCGAAGCCCCGGUAAACGGCGGCCGUAACUAUAACGGUCCUAAGGUAGCGAAAUUCCUUGUCGGGUAAGUUCCGACCUGCACGAAUGGCGUAAUGAUGGCCAGGCUGUCUCCACCCGAGACUCAGUGAAAUUGAACUCGCUGUGAAGAUGCAGUGUACCCGCGGCAAGACGGAAAGACCCCGUGAACCUUUACUAUAGCUUGACACUGAACAUUGAGCCUUGAUGUGUAGGAUAGGUGGGAGGCUUUGAAGUGUGGACGCCAGUCUGCAUGGAGCCGACCUUGAAAUACCACCCUUUAAUGUUUGAUGUUCUAACGUGGACCCGUGAUCCGGGUUGCGGACAGUGUCUGGUGGGUAGUUUGACUGGGGCGGUCUCCUCCUAAAGAGUAACGGAGGAGCACGAAGGUUGGCUAAUCCUGGUCGGACAUCAGGAGGUUAGUGCAAUGGCAUAAGCCAGCUUGACUGCGAGCGUGACGGCGCGAGCAGGUGCGAAAGCAGGUCAUAGUGAUCCGGUGGUUCUGAAUGGAAGGGCCAUCGCUCAACGGAUAAAAGGUACUCCGGGGAUAACAGGCUGAUACCGCCCAAGAGUUCAUAUCGACGGCGGUGUUUGGCACCUCGAUGUCGGCUCAUCACAUCCUGGGGCUGAAGUAGGUCCCAAGGGUAUGGCUGUUCGCCAUUUAAAGUGGUACGCGAGCUGGGUUUAGAACGUCGUGAGACAGUUCGGUCCCUAUCUGCCGUGGGCGCUGGAGAACUGAGGGGGGCUGCUCCUAGUACGAGAGGACCGGAGUGGACGCAUCACUGGUGUUCGGGUUGUCAUGCCAAUGGCACUGCCCGGUAGCUAAAUGCGGAAGAGAUAAGUGCUGAAAGCAUCUAAGCACGAAACUUGCCCCGAGAUGAGUUCUCCCUGACCCUUUAAGGGUCCUGAAGGAACGUUGAAGACGACGACGUUGAUAGGCCGGGUGUGUAAGCGCAGCGAUGCGUUGAGCUAACCGGUACUAAUGAACCGUGAGGCUUAACCUUACAACGCCGAAGGUGUUU